Molecule: ribosomal RNA, 768 nt
Filed under: uncultured bacterium
Lineage: Bacteria
Description: bacterial SSU rRNA
Rfam family: Archaeal small subunit ribosomal RNA
Source: RNAcentral
CGGGAAACUGAGUACAAUGCCCGAUAGAACACUAUACCUGGAAUGGUUUGUGUUCCAAAUGAAUGUCGCCGUAGGAUGGGACUGCGGCCUAUCAGUUUGUUGGUGAGGUAAUGGCCCACCAAGACUAUUACAGGUACGGGCUCUGAGAGGAGUAGCCCGGAGAUGGGUACUGAGACACGGACCCAGGCCCUAUGGGGCGCAGCAGGCGAGAAAACUUUGCAAUGUGCGAAAGCACGACAAGGUUAAUCCGAGUGGUUUGUGCUAAACGAACCUUUUGACAGUCCUAGAAACACUGUUGAAUAAGGGGUGGGCAAGUUCUGGUGUCAGCCGCCGCGGUAAAACCAGCACCUCAAGUGGUCAGGAUGAUUAUUGGGCCUAAAGCAUCCGUAGCCGGCUCUGUAAGUUUUCGGUUAAAUCUGUACGCUCAACGUACAGGCUGCCGGGAAUACUGCAGAGCUAGGGAGUGGGAGAGGUAGACGGUACUCGGUAGGAAGGGGUAAAAUCCUUUGAUCUAUUGAUGACCACCUGUGGCGAAGGCGGUCUACCAGAACACGUCCGACGGUGAGGGAUGAAAGCUGGGGGAGCAAACCGGAUUAGAUACCCGGGUAGUCCCAGCUGUAAACUAUGCAAACUCAGUGAUGCAUUGGCUUGUGGCCAAUGCAGUGCUGCAGGGAAGCCGUUAAGUUUGCCGCCUGGGAAGUACGUACGCAAGUAUGAAACUUAAAGGAAUUGGCGGGGGAGCACCACAAGGGGUGAAGCCUGCGGUUC